AGGAUGAUCCCAUGCUAGUGUCUUCCAUGUCUCACAAUCAAUCCAAAAGUUCUUUAUAGAGACUUUGAGAGUGUCCUUGUAUUGCUUCUUUUGACCUCCAUGUGAGCUCUUGCCUUGGUUUCCCAAAUACUGAGCUAACUGGCAAUACAUGCAUCAACUUCAUCUAUGUGGACAUCCUUGGAAAGUAUGCUGCUAAGAGAAGGGCAAGACUUUGCCCAAGAUUUCAUCAUUUCAGUAGCAGGACUAGGACAAUAACCCAAGGCUCCUGACCCCAGGCUGCCUUUUCCAUGAUCCAUCAUUGAAUCAGAAAGAGAUGAUUCAACCAGAUCAAGUUUAACAUUUUUGAACCAUAAAUUCUCUUUAAUUUAUCUCUUAUUUAUAUCUUCCUGAAGACCCUUAAGAAAAUAGUGACUGAAUGUUUCCACUUUAAAAGAAAAAAAAACAAAGAAAAAAUAACUAGGCCCUAUGAUAUGUGAUUUUUAACAUCCCAGAUUUCAAUCAAUACAACACAACUUCUGUCAGUAACUUUCUGGCAUUCUGAAUAAUGGCUUUAAAAUGUAUUUUAUUUUUACAUCACCA
Molecule: long non-coding RNA, 579 nt
Filed under: Monodelphis domestica (gray short-tailed opossum)
Lineage: Eukaryota; Metazoa; Chordata; Mammalia; Didelphimorphia; Didelphidae
Description: lncRNA (ENSMODG00000040481.1)
Source: RNAcentral